Molecule: RNase P RNA, 199 nt
Filed under: Actinomyces sp.
Lineage: Bacteria; Bacillati; Actinomycetota; Actinomycetes; Actinomycetales; Actinomycetaceae
Description: partial RNase P RNA component class A
Rfam family: Bacterial RNase P class A
About the family: Ribonuclease P (RNase P) is a ubiquitous endoribonuclease, found in archaea, bacteria and eukarya as well as chloroplasts and mitochondria. Its best characterised activity is the generation of mature 5'-ends of tRNAs by cleaving the 5'-leader elements of precursor-tRNAs. Cellular RNase Ps are ribonucleoproteins.
Source: RNAcentral
UCAGUCGGCUGGGCGGCCGCGCGACUUUUGUCUCGAGGAACGUCCGGGCUCCACAGGGCAGGAUGGUGGCUAACAGCCACCCGAGGUGACUCGCGGGCUAGUGCCACAGAAAACAAACCGCUGCAUAGUGCAGUAAGGGUGAAACGGUGAGGUAAGAGCUCACCAGCGAUACGGGUGACCGUAUCGGCUAGGUAAACCC